Molecule: ribosomal RNA, 765 nt
Filed under: Pseudoalteromonas sp.
Lineage: Bacteria; Pseudomonadati; Pseudomonadota; Gammaproteobacteria; Alteromonadales; Pseudoalteromonadaceae
Description: bacterial SSU rRNA
Rfam family: Bacterial small subunit ribosomal RNA
Source: RNAcentral
GCAAGCGCAGCUACCAUGCAGUCGAGCGGAACAAGAGGUGCUUGCCCUCUGGCGUCGAGCGGCGGACGGGUGAGUAAUGCUUGGGAAUAUGCCUUAUGGUGGGGGACAACAGUUGGAAACGACUGCUAAUACCGCAUGAUGUCUACGGACCAAGGUGGGGGACCUUCGGGCCUCACGCCAUAAGAUUAGCCCAAGUGGGAUUAGCUAGUUGGUGAGGUAAUGGCUCACCAAGGCGACGAUCCCUAGCUGGUUUGAGAGGAUGAUCAGCCACACUGGGACUGACACACGGCCCACACUCCUACGGGAGGCAGCAGUGGGGAAUAUUGCACAAUGGGCGCAAGCCUGAUGCAGCCAUGCCGCGUGUGUGAAGAAGGCCUUCGGGUUGUAAAGCACUUUCAGUAAGGAGGAAAGGUUAAGUGUUAAUAGCACUUAGCUGUGACGUUACUUACAGAAGAAGCACCGGCUAACUCCGUGCCAGCAGCCGCGGUAAUACGGAGGGUGCGAGCGUUAAUCGGAAUUACUGGGCGUAAAGCGUACGCAGGCGGUUUGUUAAGCGAGAUGUGAAAGCCCCGGGCUCAACCUGGUAACUGCAUUUCGAACUGGCAAACUAGAGUGUGAUAGAGGGUGGUAGAAUUUCAGGUGUAGCGGUGAAAUGCGUAGAGAUCUGAAGGAAUACCGAUGGCGAAUGCAGCCACCUGGGUCAACACUGACGCUCAUGUACGAAAGCGUGGGGAGCAAACAUGACUAGAUACCCCUGGGUAGUCA